UAACCCCUGGGUGAUGCCAGCUCAGAGGGAGCUGGUGGUGUAACCCAUCCACAUGCACACCUCUCCCUUUGAAGCCUCCCAGCCAGUUCGUGUCUCACUUCACCUCCAAGGACCAAGCCAGUAGCAAAAUCAAAGAGAAUGUGCAGAUGGCACCCGGGUUCUGUCCCUUUCACAGUGUCCUGCCUGCCCCCAGCACAGCAUCACUGCUGGCUGGAGCAUGUCACCACCGCUGGGCUCUGAGCCGCAGCGGCAGAGAUGGCCCUGGAGAAGGAUGGGGAUGGGAAUGUGUGGGAGCUGCAUCCCACCAGUGACAGCUCCCCCAGGACGGCUCCAGGCUUUGCCUUCACACCGAGCAUUCACCCAAGCUCCCCAGCCCCUUGUGUCCAGAGCACCAGGGUGCAACCCAUGCCGUUCCUCUAGCAUUAAUAAAGCCAUUAAUUAACUAAUAGAUUGCUACUAAUUGACUACUAGAAAUGCCACUUUGCAAUGCCUCAGUCUGGAUCACGGUGGUAAGCGGGCUCAAGGAGGCAGAAGACAUUUUAAUGCCAGGGCGGCUGUUUAAUACAGGCAAACCCUCCCCGGGUCGCUUCUGAAGCCCCACGCACACCGAGCACAGGCCAACAUAGGCAAAACAACGCGACAGAUGAGCCGGGUUUCCCAGGAGAAAAACCCAAACGGGAGGAGAGGAGCCCGGCCGCAGGCUGCACAGAGCCGCUUUUCAUUACAAAGGGCCAGGAAACAUCUCGGAGCUGCCAGCAACACCGACACCAUGCAAGAGGGAAUCUAUCAGGCUGAUGCAGCAACAAAGGCAGUUAAAUCUAGCCAGGGGGAAUUAUUUUGGGUAAUCCGUGCGUUGCUGCUCGUUGAGCGCUGGAGCAGAAGUAAGCAGCGGGUGGGAUGUGAAAUGAACCCAAGGGCUGUAAUGAGCCGUGCCGGCGGAGGCAGCGCCAGCUCAGUGAGCUGUGCUGCUGUGCAGGGACCCAUGGCCUCCCACUGUCCCA
Long non-coding RNA from Neopsephotus bourkii (Bourke's parrot), 1001 nucleotides. RefSeq lists it as uncharacterized. The record is from RefSeq and is a predicted model, not a curated record. The transcript has 3 exons. NCBI's taxonomy places the organism in Eukaryota, Metazoa, Chordata, Aves, Psittaciformes, Psittacidae.